Molecule: ribosomal RNA, 474 nt
Filed under: uncultured bacterium
Lineage: Bacteria
Description: partial 16S ribosomal RNA
Rfam family: Bacterial small subunit ribosomal RNA
Source: RNAcentral
GACGAACGCUGGCGGCGUGCUUAACACAUGCAAGUCGAACGGUAAGGCCCUUCGGGGUACACGAGUGGCGAACGGGUGAGUAACACGUGGGUAAUCUGCCCUGCACAUCGGGAUAAGCCUGGGAAACUGGGUCUAAUACCGAAUAGGACCACAGGACACAUGUCCUGUGGUGGAAAGCUUUUGCGGUGUGGGAUGGGCCCGCGGCCUAUCAGCUUGUUGGUGGGGUGAUGGCCUACCAAGGCGACGACGGGUAGCCGGCCUGAGAGGGUGUCCGGCCACACUGGGACUGAGAUACGGCCCAGACUCCUACGGGAGGCAGCAGUGGGGAAUAUCGCACAAUGGGCGAAAGCCUGAUGCAGCGACGCCGCGUGGGGGAUGACGGCCUUCGGGUUGUAAACCUCUUUCACCAUCGACGAAGGUCCGGGUUUUCUCGGGCUGACGGUAGGUGGAGAAGAAGCACCGGCCAACUACGUG